UGCAAGUCGAGGGGCAUCACGGAAAAGCUUGCUUUUCUGGUGGCGACCGGCGCACGGGUGCGGAACGCGUAUGGAACCUGCCCCUGUCAGGGGAAUAGCCCAGGGAAACUUGGAUUAAUGCCCCAUGGUAUCGAUAUAUCGCAUGAUAUUUUGAUUAAAGAUUUAUCGGACAGGGAUGGCCAUGCGUACCAUUAGUUAGUUGGUGGGGUAACGGCCCACCAAGGCAGCGAUGGUUAGGGGCCCUGAGAGGGGGAUCCCCCACACUGGUACUGAGACACGGACCAGACUCCUACGGGAGGCAGCAGUGAGGAAUAUUGGACAAUGGGCGGGAGCCUGAUCCAGCCAUGCCGCGUGCAGGAUGACGGCCCUAUGGGUUGUAAACUGCUUUUAUACGGGAAGAAAUGCGCCCACGUGUGGGCGUCUGACGGUACCGUAAGAAUAAGGACCGGCUAACUCCGUGCCAGCAGCCGCGGUAAUACGGAGGGUCCGAGCGUUAUCCGGAAUCAUUGGGUUUAAAGGGUCCGUAGGCGGGCCUGUAAGUCAGGGGUGAAAGUUUGUGGCUCAACCAUAAAAUUGCCUUUGAUACUGCAGGUCUUGAGUCAUGGUGGGGUCGCCGGAACAUGUGGUGUAGCGGUGAAAUGCAUAGAUAUCACAUAGAACACCGAUCGCGAAGGCAGGUGACCAACCAUGUACUGACGCUGAUGGACGAAAGCGUGGGUAGCGAACGGGAUUAGAUACCCCGGUAGUCCACGCCGUAAACGAUGGAUACUAGCUGUGGGGACUUCGGUCUCCGUGGCCAAGCGAAAGUGAUAAGUAUCCCACCUGGGGAGUACGUUCGCAAGAAUGAAACUCAAAGGAAUUGACGGGGGCCCGCACAAGCGGUGGAGCAUGUGGUUUAAUUCGAUGAUACGCGAGGAACCUUACCAGGGCUUAAAUGCAGGCUGCAUGGGGUAGAGAUACCCCUUUCUUCGGACUGCCUGCAAGGUGCUGCAUGGUUGUCGUCAGCUCGUGCCGUGAGGUGUCAGGUUAAGUCCUAUAACGAGCGCAACCCCUACCGUUAGUUGCCAGCAUGUCAAGAUGGGGACUCUAACGGGACUGCCGGUGCAAACC
Molecule: ribosomal RNA, 1110 nt
Filed under: Allomuricauda sp. BR-79
Lineage: Bacteria; Pseudomonadati; Bacteroidota; Flavobacteriia; Flavobacteriales; Flavobacteriaceae
Description: bacterial SSU rRNA
Rfam family: Bacterial small subunit ribosomal RNA
Source: RNAcentral